AUGCACAAUAGUUACACUUACGUCUAUGUUUAUUCAAUCACAAAGACUUUUGGGCUUUUUCCACAGUCCAAAAAAGUCCUGAAUUUGACACAAACGCCACUCCAAGAGGUUAUUGGGUACUACCAAAUGCUGGGCUUUUCAAGAAACAUACACAUUAAAGUACAUGCCUCCGAUGAGGAACUCUCAAAUAAGUCGGAGGUAAACCCAUGUUUAUCGAGUGGACAUGUGACAAAUGGCCAGUUCUCAUUUAAUAUGGUUGCAUGUGAUUUCCAAAUGAUGCAGCAAACUAAAGAAACUAAGGGCAGAUAA
RNAcentral lists this ribosomal RNA (309 nucleotides) under Triticum aestivum (bread wheat). RNAcentral describes it as "partial small subunit ribosomal RNA". The record is from RNAcentral. Lineage: Eukaryota; Viridiplantae; Streptophyta; Magnoliopsida; Poales; Poaceae.